AGUUCCAGUUCCAUUCAACAAAUAUUUAUUAUCUUCCAUAUACAAAUAAUUCAUUUAUUAAACUUAUUUUUAGUUCAGCAUUCUAGAAGUGAAACCUGAUUUUUGACUUAAACCUAUCCUACGAAAUAUAGCAGUUACCCUAAUCUUGAUGCCAAAAAGCUCUGCAGCCUUUCUCUGUGCACUCUUGAUGGUUCUUGGCAGACACCCAGCAGCCGUGAUGAACGUAUAAUGAGACUUGACGGCAGACCUGAUGCGUUACAUUCAUGAAGCUUCCAUCGUGUGCUUUCUCUGCACUGUUUUCCCGUGACACUGUCCUGUUGUUUGUGGAGAUGUAGAGUCUGCAUGUGGUCCGGCCCUUCUCACCACGUGGGGCGGGGAGGAAGAAGAAAGGUCUAGAAGGAGCUGAGCUGCCGCUUUCUCCCUGAGGCCGAGUCGCCGGCAGCCGCAGAGGCCUCACCAGCAGCAGGUGCUGAUCUCAGGGUCAUGAGACUGAGCGCAGCGUGGAGUCCGCCAGAGUUCCUCUCUCCCCCCUUGGCCCUCCUGCUACUCGUCUCUUUCUCACUCUCUCAGAUCGUUCUUUUAAAUGAAAAUACUGACAUGCUGACUGUCUUUGGGGAGAGGAGUGUCCUUUUAAGUGACCCAGAGUACUUUCUCAGGCAUUUAUAAAAAGAGCCUUUUCCUCUCCUGAA
Molecule: long non-coding RNA, 689 nt
Organism: Mustela erminea (ermine)
Lineage: Eukaryota; Metazoa; Chordata; Mammalia; Carnivora; Mustelidae
Exons: 2
Source: RefSeq, a predicted model, not a curated record